AAAGCCAUUUUUUCUGUUUUUACUUGCAGGUCACCUUUGGGGGUAAAAAAAUGUCUAUCUUGGUUGUGUGAAAUGACAGGCUUGUCCAACAUAAGCCUGAGCAGCUGUGAAGAUCAGCCUGAAGGCCUGGAGGAGAUGGCCUGCCAUAUGGGGCUCCCAAAGCUCCUCCUGUACCUAUUCACUGCAGCAGCAACAAUGCACAAAAUGCUAAUGGGAAGAAUAUAUUUUGGAUCACCACAAGACUGUCCAUUUGUAGAUCAGACUGCGAAGCACCAUCUUAUUGGAGACAAGUGCACCAUCAGCUGUCAGUGUGGCAGGUGGCCAUCAGCCUGCAAUCCUUAGCUGCAGAGAUGGAGAGAACUUUGCAAGAGCAAGUGAACAGGAAGAAAGAACUGCUAGCAAAACCCACCAAAAAAAAAAAAGAGGACAGCAGGACUUUGUAGAGAAUACAUUAGAAAUAGGCUGGAGGUGUGUAGAAUAGGAAAAGGUAGGUAACUUGGAACAAGAUAGAGAAAUUAUUUGCUAAGAGGAACAUGCUUCUGACAACCGUCCUUAAUGUCUAAACUUCCUGUACCUGUCUGUAGCUUUCAGAUCUGCUGUCCUUACCAAAAGACAUUUGUGAACAGAGCGCUCUACAGCAAAGCUCUACAGCUGCUCAAGAUGCUAAUUCUGGGUCUUCCUGGUUAGGUGAGCUGGGCCAGUGGCCCUCCCUGAUUUUUAAAUUUUUAUAUCUGUAAAAGAAGAAUAUAAUCAGGCCUCAGGGGAUGCUUACAGGAUUCAUAGGUUAUAUGUGUAAGGGCAUUGAGCUUGAGGAGCGCUACAGAUAUAAUCAUGGACCUUAUACCCCACCUGCCCAUACAGAAAAUAAUUUUUUUAAAAAGAGAGAUAAAGUGGCAACUGCCAUCUCAAUCUAAAUAGGGAGCAUUACCAUCCACCCUGCAGCCUGAUUCCUACUCUGCCUGAACUGGAACACCCUCCAUCUUCUGGGAAUGAUUCUCACAAAGGAACACAACAUGAAGCAACCAAAGGAUGCACCUUGGAGUGAGCAGGUGUCACACAUGUCACUAAAAGCAUGUGUUACACUCCUGCAUCAUGACUGUGGUGCUCUGCUCUUCACCUCUACCUCUGGCUUCCUUCAAAAGUAAUGGUUUGAAUCUCUGAUGUUGUUCAUCAGCAUUUGUGCAGUAAUCUGCAGCAAUCUUCAAUCUUACACCUUGACUACUUACAUGAUGCUACAGCCAGUGGCACUGGUUGAUUAUUUUACAAAUGCAAAGCCAACUGCAUUUAAUAUUAUCUCUAACUGAACUGAACAUCGACCCAAAUAAUGUCACAGUCUAAGAUU
RNAcentral lists this long non-coding RNA (1342 nucleotides) under Zonotrichia albicollis (white-throated sparrow). RNAcentral describes it as "lncRNA (ENSZALG00000018244.1)". Lineage: Eukaryota; Metazoa; Chordata; Aves; Passeriformes; Passerellidae. The record is from RNAcentral.